GAGAUCAAAGAAGUUCGCGCGGGCGACAUCGCGGCUGCUAUCGGCCUGAAAGACGUGACUACCGGUGACACCCUGUGUGAUCCGGAAAACCCGAUCAUUCUGGAACGUAUGGAAUUCCCUGAGCCGGUAAUCUCCAUCGCGGUAGAACCGAAAACCAAAGCUGACCAGGAAAAAAUGGGUCUGGCUCUGGGCCGUCUGGCGAAAGAAGACCCGUCGUUCCGCGUAUGGACUGAUGAAGAAUCUAACCAGACCAUCAUCGCUGGUAUGGGUGAACUUCACCUAGAUAUCAUCGUUGACCGUAUGAAGCGUGAAUUCAACGUUGAAGCGAACGUGGGUAAACCUCAGGUUGCUUACCGCGAAGCGAUUCGCGCGAAAGUUACCGACAUCGAAGGUAAACACGCGAAACAGUCUGGUGGUCGCGGUCAGUAUGGUCAUGUUGUUAUCGACAUGUACCCGCUGGAGCCGGGCUCUAACCCGAAAGGUUACGAGUUCAUCAACGACAUCAAAGGUGGUGUAAUUCCUGGCGAGUACAUCCCGGCCGUUGAUAAAGGCAUCCAGGAGCAGCUGAAAUCUGGCCCGCUGGCGGGUUAUCCGGUAGUUGAUCUCGGUGUGCGUCUGCACUUCGGUUCUUACCAUGACGUUGACUCCUCUGAGCUGGCGUUUAAACUGGCUGCGUCUAUCGCCUUUAAAGAAGGCUUUAAGAAAGCAAAACCAGUUCUGCUUGAGCCGAUCAUGAAGGUUGAAGUAGAAACACCUGAAGAGAAUACCGGUGACGUUAUCGGCGACCUUAGCCGCCGUCGUGGUAUGCUCAAAGGUCAGGAAUCUGAAGUUACAGGCGUUAAGAUCCACGCUGAAGUACCGCUGUCUGAAAUGUUCGGAUAUGCAACUCAGCUGCGUUCUCUGACCAAAGGUCGCGCAUCGUACACUAUGGAAUUCCUGAAGUAUGAUGAUGCGCCGAACAACGUUGCUCAGGCCGUAAUCGAAGCCCGUGGUAAAUAAGCCGCAGGGUUAAAAACCAAAAUCCCGUGCUCUCUCCUGAAGGGGAGAGCGCUAUAGUAAGGAAUAUAGCCGUGUCUAAAGAAAAAUUUGAACGUACAAAACCGCACGUUAACGUCGGCACCAUCGGCCACGUUGACCACGGUAAAACUACCCUGACCGCUGCAAUCACCACCGUACUGGCUAAAACCUACGGCGGUGCUGCUCGUGCAUUCGACCAGAUCGAUAACGCUCCGGAAGAAAAAGCGCGUGGUAUCACCAUCAACACUUCUCACGUUGAAUACGAUCCCCCGNAAAGGCGUAGUCGAUGGGAAACGGGUUAAUAUUCCCGUACUUGGUGUUACUGCGAAGGGGGGACGGAGAAGGCUAUGUUGGCCGGGCGACGGUUGUCCCGGUUUAAGCGUGUAGGUAUGUGUUCCAGGUAAAUCCGGUUCACUUUAACACUGAGGCGUGACGACGAGGCACUACGGUGCUGAAGCAACAAAUGCCCUGCUUCCAGGAAAAGCCUCUAAGCAUCAGGUAACAUCAAAUCGUACCCCAAACCGACACAGGUGGUCAGGUAGAGAAUACCAAGGCGCUUGAGAGAACUCGGGUGAAGGAACUAGGCAAAAUGGUGCCGUAACUUCGGGAGAAGGCACGCUGACACGUAGGUGAAGUGAUUUACUCACGGAGCUGAAGUCAGCCGAAGAUACCAGCUGGCUGCAACUGUUUAUUAAAAACACAGCACUGUGCAAACACGAAAGUGGACGUAUACGGUGUGACGCCUGCCCGGUGCCGGAAGGUUAAUUGAUGGGGUCAGCGCAAGCGAAGCUCCUGAUCGAAGCCCCGGUAAACGGCGGCCGUAACUAUAACGGUCCUAAGGUAGCGAAAUUCCUUGUCGGGUAAGUUCCGACCUGCACGAAUGGCGUAAUGAUGGCCAGGCUGUCUCCACCCGAGACUCAGUGAAAUUGAACUCGCUGUGAAGAUGCAGUGUACCCGCGGCAAGACGGAAAGACCCCGUGAACCUUUACUAUAGCUUGACACUGAACAUUGAGCCUUGAUGUGUAGGAUAGGUGGGAGGCUUUGAAGUGUGGACGCCAGUCUGCAUGGAGCCGACCUUGAAAUACCACCCUUUAAUGUUUGAUGUUCUAACGUGGACCCGUGAUCCGGGUUGCGGACAGUGUCUGGUGGGUAGUUUGACUGGGGCGGUCUCCUCCUAAAGAGUAACGGAGGAGCACGAAGGUUGGCUAAUCCUGGUCGGACAUCAGGAGGUUAGUGCAAUGGCAUAAGCCAGCUUGACUGCGAGCGUGACGGCGCGAGCAGGUGCGAAAGCAGGUCAUAGUGAUCCGGUGGUUCUGAAUGGAAGGGCCAUCGCUCAACGGAUAAAAGGUACUCCGGGGAUAACAGGCUGAUACCGCCCAAGAGUUCAUAUCGACGGCGGUGUUUGGCACCUCGAUGUCGGCUCAUCACAUCCUGGGGCUGAAGUAGGUCCCAAGGGUAUGGCUGUUCGCCAUUUAAAGUGGUACGCGAGCUGGGUUUAGAACGUCGUGAGACAGUUCGGUCCCUAUCUGCCGUGGGCGCUGGAGAACUGAGGGGGGCUGCUCCUAGUACGAGAGGACCGGAGUGGACGCAUCACUGGUGUUCGGGUUGUCAUGCCAAUGGCACUGCCCGGUAGCUAAAUGCGGAAGAGAUAAGUGCUGAAAGCAUCUAAGCACGAAACUUGCCCCGAGAUGAGUUCUCCCUGAGACUUUAGGUCUCCUGAAGGAACGUUGAAGACGACGACGUUGAUAGGCCGGGUGUGUAAGCGCAGCGAUGCGUUGAGCUAACCGGUACUAAUGAACCGUGAGGCUUAACCUU
This 2832-nucleotide ribosomal RNA is filed under the name Salmonella enterica subsp. enterica serovar Typhi. RNAcentral's name for it is "bacterial LSU rRNA". The stretch from base 1007 to 2832 matches the Rfam family "Bacterial large subunit ribosomal RNA". The record is from RNAcentral. Lineage: Bacteria; Pseudomonadati; Pseudomonadota; Gammaproteobacteria; Enterobacterales; Enterobacteriaceae.